Molecule: ribosomal RNA, 253 nt
Filed under: uncultured bacterium
Lineage: Bacteria
Description: partial 16S ribosomal RNA
Rfam family: Bacterial small subunit ribosomal RNA
Source: RNAcentral
UACAGAGGGGGCAAGCGUUGUUCGGAAUUACUGGGCGUAAAGGGCUCGUAGGUGGUCAACUAAGUCGGACGUGAAAUCCCUCGGCUUAACCGGGGAACUGCAUCCGAAACUGCCUUGCUAGAGUAUGGGAGAGGGAAGUGGAAUUUCCGGUGUAGCGGUGAAAUGCGUAGAUAUCGGAAGGAACAUCAGUGGCGAAGGCGACUUCCUGGACCAAUACUGACGCUCAGGUGCGAAAGCGUGGGGAGCAAACAGG